AGAGAGAUCAAGAGGACAAAAGCCAUGGGUGGGGACUUCCCAUCUAAGCCAAUGUCCUUGAUAGCUACAAUAUGGGAUGGUUCUAAUUGGGCUACAAAUGGUGGAAAAUACAAAGUCAAUUACAAAUACGCCCCGUAUAUCGCUGAGUUCUCCGAUUUCAUCCUCCACGGAUGCGCGGUUGAUCCAAUCGAACUGUCAUCCAAAUGUGACAACACUACGCCAAAAACUCCAACGAUCCCUACCGAUAUCACCCUUGACCAAAGACGAAAGAUGGAGAACUUCAGAAAGAAGCAAAUGCAAUAUUCAUACUGCUAUGACAAGACCAGGUACAAGGUCCCUCCUCCCGAGUGCGUGAUCGACCCUAAGGAAGCCGAACGACUCCGAGCCUUUGACCCCGUUACAUUUGGAGGAUCCCACCACCAUCAUGGGAGACGACAUCACCGGAGCAGACCAAAGUUGAAGGGUGAUGAUGAUGUAUCCUUUAUGUAAAAGAAAAAAGACCCAAUCCCAUAAGUUUUUCUCUAUAUAGUCACAUGAUGAUAUGAUCAUUUGAGGUUUUGUUAUUUUCACAUGUGAAUAGAGGAUAUAUUGUUGGGGUAUGUAUAUAUGUCAUACCUAUAUAGGGGUCCCAAGCCAUGUUCUAGUUGAUGUAUUUUGUUGUUUGGGCCUUUAAUUUAUAAAUUCAACUUGUUGGUGAUUUUGUGUACUUUUUUUGUGA
RNAcentral lists this unclassified non-coding RNA (718 nucleotides) under Hevea brasiliensis (rubber tree). The record is from RNAcentral. Lineage: Eukaryota; Viridiplantae; Streptophyta; Magnoliopsida; Malpighiales; Euphorbiaceae.